This 497-nucleotide ribosomal RNA is filed under the name uncultured bacterium. RNAcentral's name for it is "partial 16S ribosomal RNA". It matches the Rfam family "Bacterial small subunit ribosomal RNA", at positions 28 to 507 of the family's 1533-position model. The record is from RNAcentral.
GAUGAACGCUGGCGGCGUGCCUAAUACAUGCAAGUAGAACGCUGAAGGAAGGAGCUUGCUCUUUCCGGAUGAGUUGCGAACGGGUGAGUAACGCGUAGGUAACCUGCCUGGUAGCGGGGGAUAACUAUUGGAAACGAUAGCUAAUACCGCAUAACAGUAGAUGUUGCAUGAUAUCUACUUAAAAGGUGCAAUUGCACCACUACCAGAUGGACCUGCGUUGUAUUAGCUAGUUGGUGAGGUAACGGCUCACCAAGGCGACGAUACAUAGCCGACCUGAGAGGGUGGUCGGCCACACUGGGACUGGGACACGGCCCAGACUCCUACGGGAGGCAGCAGUAGGGAAUCUUCGGCAAUGGACGGAAGUCUGACCGAGCAACGCCGCGUGAGUGAAGAAGGUUUUCGGAUCGGAAAGCUCUGUUGUAAGAGAAGAACGAGUGUGAGAGUGGAAAGUUCACACUGUGACGGUAUCUUACCAGAAAGGGACGGCUAACUACGUG